UUACUUUGAGCUCUAUCUUCUCUCUAGCCUCCACCUUGAUUCCGCCGUUGAAUAUUUGAUUCGGAGGUGUUCUAGCAUUCACGGUGAAGAGAGCUUCAAAAAGGACCGAACAGUUCUUCGUUUCAGCGGAUAAGUCGUUUUCUCCUCUUUCUCUCGCUGUUCUUGAACUUAGGGCAUGUGAUUCUGCCUUUGCAUGUGCCUUGUACGUUCUUCUUUACAUUCCUUAUAUUGUUCUAGCUUUAAGAGUUGUUCUAUCACCACUGGGGGUUUGUAGG
Molecule: long non-coding RNA, 275 nt
Filed under: Vigna radiata
Lineage: Eukaryota; Viridiplantae; Streptophyta; Magnoliopsida; Fabales; Fabaceae
Description: long non-coding RNA (VRAD_LNC008318)
Source: RNAcentral